GCCUGGGUGGUGGAAUGGCAGACACAACGGACUUAAAAUCCGUUGACCGUAAGGUCGUGCGGGUUCGAGUCCCGCCCCAGGCA
RNAcentral lists this transfer RNA (83 nucleotides) under Kiritimatiellia bacterium. RNAcentral describes it as "Kiritimatiellae bacterium tRNA-Leu". It matches the Rfam family "tRNA". From Rfam's summary of the family: Transfer RNA (tRNA) molecules are approximately 80 nucleotides in length. RNAcentral also lists the same sequence under 1 other name. Lineage: Bacteria; Pseudomonadati; Kiritimatiellota; Kiritimatiellia. The record is from RNAcentral.